AUUGAACGCUGGCGGCAUGCCUUACACAUGCAAGUCGAGCGCGAAAGGGGGCAACCCCGAGUAGAGCGGCGGACGGGUGAGUAACACAUCGGAACGUGCCCAGUAGUGGGGGACAACCUCGAGAAAUCGAGGCUAAUACCGCAUACGACCCACGGGUGAAAGCGGGGGACCGCAAGGCCUCGCGCUAUUGGAGCGGCCGAUGUCCGAUUAGCUAGUUGGCGGGGUAAGAGCCCACCAAGGCGACGAUCGGUAGCUGGUCUGAGAGGACGACCAGCCACACUGGGGACUGAGACACGGCCCAGACUCCUACGGGAGGCAGCAGUGGGGAAUUUUGGACAAUGGGGGCAACCCUG
Molecule: ribosomal RNA, 353 nt
Filed under: uncultured bacterium
Lineage: Bacteria
Description: bacterial SSU rRNA
Rfam family: Bacterial small subunit ribosomal RNA
Source: RNAcentral